CGAGAAAGUAAUAAUAGAAACUGCUAAUUACUAUUUACUGAGAUUAACUUCACAGCUUUCUCA
Molecule: transfer RNA, 63 nt
Filed under: Nilssonia hurum
Lineage: Eukaryota; Metazoa; Chordata; Testudines; Trionychidae
Also listed under: 1 other name
Description: tRNA-Ser
Source: RNAcentral